Molecule: transfer RNA, 85 nt
Filed under: Felis catus (domestic cat)
Lineage: Eukaryota; Metazoa; Chordata; Mammalia; Carnivora; Felidae
Also listed under: 1 other name
Rfam family: tRNA
About the family: Transfer RNA (tRNA) molecules are approximately 80 nucleotides in length. Their secondary structure includes four short double-helical elements and three loops (D, anti-codon, and T loops).
Source: Rfam by way of RNAcentral
GCCUGGGUGGCUCAGUCGGUUGAGCAUCUGACUUUGGCUCAGGUCAUGAUCUCACAGCUCGUGAGUUCAAGCCCCGCCUCAGGCU